AACGCGAAGAACCUUACCUGGUCUUGACAUGUACGGAAUCCUCCAGAGACGGAGGAGUGCCUUCGGGAGCCGUAACACAGGUGCUGCAUGGCUGUCGUCAGCUCGUGUCGUGAGAUGUUGGGUUAAGUCCCGCAACGAGCGCAACCCUUGUCAUUAGUUGCCAUCAUUUAGUUGGGCACUCUAAUGAGACUGCCGGUGACAAGCCGGAGGAAGGUGAGGAUGACGUCAAGUCCUCAUGGCCCUUAUGACCAGGGCUUCACACGUCAUACAAUGGUCGGUACAGAGGGUAGCCAAGCCGCGAGGUGGAGCCAAUCUCACAAAACCGAUGUAGUCCGGAUUGCACUCUGCAACUCGAGUGCAUGAAGUCGGAAUCGCUAGUAAUCGCAGUCAGC
RNAcentral lists this ribosomal RNA (392 nucleotides) under uncultured Neisseria sp. RNAcentral's name for it is "bacterial SSU rRNA". It matches the Rfam family "Bacterial small subunit ribosomal RNA", at positions 958 to 1353 of the family's 1533-position model. Lineage: Bacteria; Pseudomonadati; Pseudomonadota; Betaproteobacteria; Neisseriales; Neisseriaceae. The record is from RNAcentral.